UACGUAGGGGGCAAGCGUUGUCCGGAUUUAUUGGGCGUAAAGAGCGUGUAGGCGGUCUGGUAGGUCCGUUGUGAAAACUCGAGGCUCAACCUCGAGACGCCGAUGGAAACCCUCAGACUAGAGUCCGGAAGAGGAGAGUGGAAUUCCUGGUGUAGCGGUGGAAUGCGCAGAUAUCAGGAGGAACACCGGUGGCGAAGGCGGUCUCUGGCCAGUGAACUGACGCUGAGGAGCGAAGCGUGGGAGCGAACAGGA
This 252-nucleotide ribosomal RNA is filed under the name uncultured bacterium. RNAcentral describes it as "partial 16S ribosomal RNA". It matches the Rfam family "Bacterial small subunit ribosomal RNA", at positions 524 to 777 of the family's 1533-position model. The record is from RNAcentral.